Molecule: ribosomal RNA, 459 nt
Filed under: Bacillus sp. (in: firmicutes)
Lineage: Bacteria; Bacillati; Bacillota; Bacilli; Caryophanales; Bacillaceae
Description: bacterial SSU rRNA
Rfam family: Bacterial small subunit ribosomal RNA
Source: RNAcentral
UUCCUACGGGGGACAGCAGUAGGGAAUCUUCCGCAAUGGACGAAAGUCUGACGGAGCAACGCCGCGUGAGUGAUGAAGGUUUUCGGAUCGUAAAGCUCUGUUGUUAGGGAAGAACAAGUACCGUUCGAAUAGGGCGGUACCUUGACGGUACCUAACCAGAAAGCCACGGCUAACUACGUGCCAGCAGCCGCGGUAAUACGUAGGUGGCAAGCGUUGUCCGGAAUUAUUGGGCGUAAAGGGCUCGCAGGCGGUUCCUUAAGUCUGAUGUGAAAGCCCCCGGCUCAACCGGGGAGGGUCAUUGGAAACUGGGGAACUUGAGUGCAGAAGAGGAGAGUGGAAUUCCACGUGUAGCGGUGAAAUGCGUAGAGAUGUGGAGGAACACCAGUGGCGAAGGCGACUCUCUGGUCUGUAACUGACGCUGAGGAGCGAAAGCGUGGGGAGCGAACAGGAUUAGAUACC